GGCUUCGUCGCCGACGAGGAGUCGCUGGCGGCCGCCGCCAUGGCGGCGCAGGCGGCGGCGGUGGCCGCCGCAGAGCGGCUCGGCGCCGCGCGGCGCCGCCA
RNAcentral lists this transfer RNA (101 nucleotides) under Actinobacteria bacterium ADurb.BinA094. RNAcentral describes it as "tRNA-Trp". The record is from RNAcentral. Lineage: Bacteria; Bacillati; Actinomycetota.